AUGCCAUUUGGCCUAUGCAAUGCACCGGCAGCAUUUCAAUGCUUGAUGAACACAGUGUUCGGGCACUAUGUGCGUAAGUUCAUCAUCCUAUUUUUGGAUGACAUCUUGGUAUUCAGCACUGACCUGCAGGAAUGCGAAGAACACCUCCACCUCACUCUGAAACUUCUCCGCGAACAUCAACUAUUCGCCAAGGCCAGCAAGUGUUCGUUCGCACAAACAACAUUGAGUACCUCGGGCAUGUGA
This 243-nucleotide ribosomal RNA is filed under the name Triticum aestivum (bread wheat). RNAcentral describes it as "partial small subunit ribosomal RNA". The record is from RNAcentral. Lineage: Eukaryota; Viridiplantae; Streptophyta; Magnoliopsida; Poales; Poaceae.